UCCUUGACAGAGGCUCUAGUACAUUCUGUA
RNAcentral lists this non-coding RNA (30 nucleotides) under Rattus norvegicus (Norway rat). The record is from RNAcentral. Lineage: Eukaryota; Metazoa; Chordata; Mammalia; Rodentia; Muridae.